CCGUUCCCAUGCCGAACACGGAAGUUAAGCUCUCCAGCGCCGAUGAUAGUUGGGGGUUUCCCCCUGUGAAAGUAGGACGCCGCUGGGC
This 88-nucleotide ribosomal RNA is filed under the name Salipaludibacillus neizhouensis. Lineage: Bacteria; Bacillati; Bacillota; Bacilli; Caryophanales; Bacillaceae. The record is from RNAcentral.